UACGAAGGGGGCGAGCGUUGUUCGGAGUUACUGGGCGUAAAGGGCGCGUAGGCGGCGAUCCAAGUUAGGCGUGAAAGCCCCGGGCUUAACCUGGGAAUUGCGCUUAAGACUGGACUGCUUGAGUGCGGGAGAGGUGAGUGGAAUUCCCAGUGUAGAGGUGAAAUUCGUAGAUAUUGGGAAGAACACCAGUGGCGAAGGCGGCUCACUGGCCCGCAACUGACGCUGAGGCGCGAAAGCUAGGGGAGCAAACGGG
This 253-nucleotide ribosomal RNA is filed under the name uncultured bacterium. RNAcentral describes it as "partial 16S ribosomal RNA". It matches the Rfam family "Bacterial small subunit ribosomal RNA", at positions 524 to 776 of the family's 1533-position model. The record is from RNAcentral.